AGAGUUUGAUCCUGGCUCAGGAUAAACGCUGGCGGCGCACAUAAGACAUGCAAGUCGAACGAACUUAACCUAUAGUUUACUAUUGGAGCGGUUAGUGGCGGACUGGUGAGUAACGCGUGAGCAACCUGCCUUUCAGAGGGGGAUAACGUCUCGAAAAGGACGCUAAUACCGCAUGAUAUUAUGGAGCCACAUGGCUCUAUAAUCAAAGGAGCAAUCCGCUGAAAGAUGGGCUCGCGUCCGAUUAGGUAGUUGGCGGGAUAACAGCCCACCAAGCCGACGAUCGGUAGCCGCGG
This 293-nucleotide ribosomal RNA is filed under the name uncultured bacterium. Its description in RNAcentral is "partial 16S ribosomal RNA". It matches the Rfam family "Bacterial small subunit ribosomal RNA", at positions 8 to 292 of the family's 1533-position model. The record is from RNAcentral.